AAACCAUGAUGAGGACAUCCUCCUUUUAACUCCCGAUAACACUCCCAUGUUUCAUACAAUGUCUGUCCUUUUUGUUGACAAAAACUCGUUAUAUCCAUACGAAAUUU
Molecule: small nucleolar RNA, 107 nt
Organism: Coffea eugenioides
Lineage: Eukaryota; Viridiplantae; Streptophyta; Magnoliopsida; Gentianales; Rubiaceae
Source: RefSeq, a predicted model, not a curated record